This 250-nucleotide ribosomal RNA is filed under the name uncultured bacterium. Its description in RNAcentral is "partial 16S ribosomal RNA". It matches the Rfam family "Bacterial small subunit ribosomal RNA", at positions 524 to 766 of the family's 1533-position model. The record is from RNAcentral.
UACGUAGGGUGCGAGCGUUGUCCGGAAUUAUUGGGCGUAAAGAGCUCGUAGGCGGUUUGUCGCGUCUGCUGUGAAAACGCGGGGCUCAACUCCGCGCCUGCAGUGGGUACGGGCAGACUAGAGUGGCAGUAGGGGAGACUGGAAUUCCUGGUGUAGCGGUGGAAUGCGCAGAGUAUCAGGAGGAACACCGGUGGCGAAGGCGGGAUCUCUGGGCGUGUAACUGACGCUGGAGGAGCGGAAAAGCGUCGGG